CCACUUUGAUACGUAGUCUACGG
This 23-nucleotide non-coding RNA is filed under the name Arabidopsis thaliana (thale cress). The record is from RNAcentral. Lineage: Eukaryota; Viridiplantae; Streptophyta; Magnoliopsida; Brassicales; Brassicaceae.